CUACGGGACGCUGCAGUCGAGAAUCUUCCGCAAUGGGCGAAAGCCUGACGGAGCAAUGCCGCGUGCAGGAUGAAGGCCUUCGGGUCGUAAACUGCUGUCACCGGGGAUGAAUAAUGACAGUACCCGGGGAGGAAGUCACGGCUAACUACGUGCCAGCAGCCGCGGUAAUACGUAGGUGACAAGCGUUGUUCGGAUUUAUUGGGCGUAAAGGGUCCGUAGGAUGUUGAUUAAGAUUGGUGUGAAAUCCCAAGGCUCAACCUUGGAACUGCAUUGAUUACUGAUGAACUAGAGUGUCGUAGAGGAAAGCGGAAUGCCAGGUGUAGCGGUGGAAUGCGUAGAUAUCUGGAAGAACACCGACAGCGAAGGCAGCUUUCUGGGCGAUAACUGACUCUGAGGAACGAAAGCAUGGGGAGCAAACAGGAUUAGAUACCCGUGUAGUC
This 440-nucleotide ribosomal RNA is filed under the name uncultured bacterium. Its description in RNAcentral is "partial 16S ribosomal RNA". It matches the Rfam family "Bacterial small subunit ribosomal RNA", at positions 339 to 795 of the family's 1533-position model. The record is from RNAcentral.